GUCUACAGCCAUACCACCCUGAAUGCACCUGAUCUCAUCUGAUCUCAGAAGCUAAGCAGGGUUGGGCUGGGUUAGUACUUGGAUGGAAGAAACCAACUGAGUUCCAUUUCUGCAAGUC
Molecule: ribosomal RNA, 118 nt
Filed under: Castor canadensis (American beaver)
Lineage: Eukaryota; Metazoa; Chordata; Mammalia; Rodentia; Castoridae
Source: RNAcentral